This is a long non-coding RNA of Mauremys reevesii (Reeves's turtle), 312 nucleotides long. RefSeq lists it as uncharacterized. Lineage: Eukaryota; Metazoa; Chordata; Testudines; Geoemydidae. The transcript has 3 exons. The record is from RefSeq and is a predicted model, not a curated record.
CAGAGCUAGACAGACAGACACACGGCCAGCCUGGCUACUGAGGAAGGCGUUUCCAUGGUAACGAGCAGCACAUCCGAAAGCUCUCAGAGCUUCCUCUCCUCCACUCGUGACUGGCCAGCUUGAAUGGCAGAAUUCUGUUGAUACAGCAACGGUUUUUGUCACCAAACUGUCAAAGGAAGAAGCUAAACAUCUCUAGGCCUAUUUAGGUAGAACAGUAAAUCUGCAUAUGUUUGAAGAGAUUUUGCUGCAGUGGGAGAAAAUGGAAAUAAAUGUUUAGGGCCUAACGGAACAGGUCCAUUGAUCCCAACCAGA